This 347-nucleotide ribosomal RNA is filed under the name Botrytis cinerea. Its description in RNAcentral is "eukaryotic LSU rRNA". The stretch from base 2 to 142 matches the Rfam family "5.8S ribosomal RNA". The record is from RNAcentral. Lineage: Eukaryota; Fungi; Ascomycota; Leotiomycetes; Helotiales; Sclerotiniaceae.
CGGAUCUCUUGGUUCUGGCAUCGAUGAAGAACGCAGCGAAAUGCGAUAAGUAAUGUGAAUUGCAGAAUUCAGUGAAUCAUCGAAUCUUUGAACGCACAUUGCGCCCCUUGGUAUUCCGGGGGGCAUGCCUGUUCGAGCGUCAUUUCAACCCUCAAGCUUAGCUUGGUAUUGAGUCUAUGUCAGUAAUGGCAGGCUCUAAAAUCAGUGGCGGCGCCGCUGGGUCCUGAACGUAGUAAUAUCUCUCGUUACAGGUUCUCGGUGUGCUUCUGCCAAAACCCAAAUUUUUCUAUGGUUGACCUCGGAUCAGGUAGGGAUACCCGCUGAACUUAAGCAUAUCAAUAAGCGGA